UACAGAGGGGGCGAGCGUUAUUCGGAAUUAUUGGGCGUAAAGGGCGCGUAGGCGGCCAAGCAAGUCUUGGGUGAAAUCCCUCGGCUCAACCGAGGAACUGCCUUGGAAACUGCUUGGCUUGAGGCCGGGAGAGGGUGGUGGAAUUCCCAGUGUAGCGGUGAAAUGCGUAGAUAUUGGGAGGAACACCAGUGGCGAAGGCGGCCACCUGGACCGGUCCUGACGCUGAGGCGCGAAAGCGUGGGGAGCAAACAGG
This 253-nucleotide ribosomal RNA is filed under the name uncultured bacterium. RNAcentral describes it as "partial 16S ribosomal RNA". It matches the Rfam family "Bacterial small subunit ribosomal RNA", at positions 524 to 776 of the family's 1533-position model. The record is from RNAcentral.